CGGAAAGGGCGCGGGUCCCCUCCAGCCUCCGCCUGGCCCGCCGUCGCCCCGGUCCCCGAGCGGUUCCCCUCGGGCCCUCGCCGGCGGAGUUCCGCUGCGGGACGGAGGUUCCCCCGCCGCGGCCGGGCGGUUUAAGGGCAGCCCGGACCCGAAUUCCACCUCACGGUGCGGCGGGCGGCAGCGGGCCGUGCCGGCUAACGCCGGGCGGGUCGCCUCGGCGCUCGUCCCUGCGAGGGAGAUGGGAGUAGCUGGCCGCCCUUAGUCAGGUAUUCCCAGGUGCGCUGGUGCCUGUGUGCCAUCGGUGUCGGCAGGACUGCUACCGUGUGGGAACAGAGAUUAUUUUUUUCUCUCUCUCCGUCUAAAAGGAGUGUUUCCUACCCCACCACCACCCCCCACCCCCAAAAGUUUCUCCAUCUGUAGUGAUGAGAUGAAAGCUGAGUUGGCUCUCUGGAAAACCGGGUAAGGAUAACUGCCUUCUGUGAAAACUGGCCAAUGGCAAUUGUAGACCCUUUUCGUUCCUGUAAUGCGUUCUUCCAGCCAAGUUCUGCAGUCAGAGGAACUCUGGAUAACUUCAUACUCCUUCCUGCUGCAUGUUUGCAAGAGUGGGAACUGAUCAGAACUUAUAACCCUGUAAUGUUUUACAGCUCUGCUGGAUUUUACAGUAUUUCAUUUCUUGAAUCACCUGUGAAGAACUCCAAAUGACAAAGCUCCCAGAAACCUCAAAAUAAAGAAACUGGCUCUGCUUUUCUAAAACACUUCUAAAAAGCACAUCCUAAAAUUAAUAUAAUUAAGGACUAUAAUAGCCUUCUAGCCAAGUUUUAAGAAGGCUACACAAUGCAUCUCAGUGAAUGGAAGUAUGAACUUGGAUCCUAGAGAAAGAAAUGCUUCAUGUUCAUAUACUGAGGAUAAGAUUCAUCUUGUCUGUUUAGUGUAGAUGUCUGCAUGUGAUCCAGUCAUAGAAACAUAGUUGAUGAAGAGAAAUUGAUGCUAGGGUCAACUCAUUUUACUUGUGUUAAUUGUCCACCUAAGAAUGUCUACCUUACCUUCAGCUCAGCGAAGGGGCAGGCUGACUAACAUUCAGCACGCCCAAAAAAAUGUGCAGGUUAGUUAUUAGUGCUGGAUAAUAUAAUACUGACACAGUCUCACAUGCAUUCCUAAAAUCAUGUCUCACACUAUUUGUGAAUUUUAUGUUCCUCUGAUAUAAGCAGAUUUGUUUGCUGAUUAUUGUAUGCAAUACUGAAAAUUAACAUACUAUAAAAACACCUUUUAUCUGAAAAAUUAUGAUGGGACAGGACGCAGUGCAGGAAUAUGGGAAGAAGAAGCACUAGCACUUUUGCCAUGUGGCAGGUUUUAUAAGUGUGUUGCUUAAUACAAGGUUCAGAUCUGACAUUUGAAUGUUAAAGCCCCAUAUUUAAAAAGAAGCCCAAGCUGGCCUUUAAAUUAAAGGUGCGGCAUCUUUAGUAAGCAUAAAUAGUAUAGAUGCCUCUCCAGUCAGUUGUCCAAUGUACCACAAAUGCAAAGUGACAAAGUGAGCAAACAGAAGUUUCUCACUCUACUGAGAAGGAAGCAAUACUAGAAUAACUAUGUGUAGCUUUGACCAUUCAUCUUCAAGGAAAGCUUUGCUUACUCAUUGCUGCCACUGAACUUGAUAUUGUUUGUAGCAAGACUGGAUAUUGAGGGGUACUACUGGACAGUUUCAGAAGUUUACUUCCAACUGAUGUUUUCCUUUCAAAUCUCAUAUUCAUGAUAUUAACCUAGCGUUCGUUCUGGAAGGUGAGCAUUUUUCACUGGAAAACCACUGGUCAGAGGUAAUUUGCAUUGGAGAAUAGCUUUGAAUGUAAACACCACAGGAAGGGAUGUUCUUACCAACUAAGAAUUCUGCACUCAAAGAGAGCUUUAAUGGAAAUAGCUGUUUUUAUUGUUUUAACUCACGUUAGCAUUUGGCUGGAUUUUGUGUCAGUUGCCUAGUGUGUAUUGAUAGAGUGGGCUUCUCCCACUUUUCCAAAUCACCGAGAAAACUAUCUGCUUAAAGAGUAAUUCUAUGGCUGUGCAUAUUCAGUCAUCUGAUGGUUUUGAACAAGAGUAGUCAGUUAUGUUGCAGUGUGUGUUAGUUUUGUAAGUGUCGUGUGAAGGCUGACAGAGAUCACAUUUCUGUGUUUUGCUGCUCGGUCCAGACCAUAGCCUCUGGAGGUAAUGGAUCUCUGCAGAACCUCACUGGAGCAGAUCACUAAACAGUACAGGAUUUCAAGAGCUGAUGCAUUUUUAUUGCUACAAUAUUCUUGUCAUGAAGGUGAUGGGUUUUGUAUUGUGGUUUCAUAUAUCAGUGUGGUUUAAUGUCUAAAAGCUGAGCCCUGUUGGUAAGCUGGAUACCUUUUUUUUUAAAAAAAAGAGGCUUUUCUUUUGUUCUUA
Molecule: long non-coding RNA, 2409 nt
Organism: Aquila chrysaetos chrysaetos
Lineage: Eukaryota; Metazoa; Chordata; Aves; Accipitriformes; Accipitridae
Exons: 4
Source: RefSeq, a predicted model, not a curated record